UACGUAGGAGGCAAGCGUUGUCCGGAUUUAUUGGGCGUAAAGAGCGUGUAGGCGGCCAUACAGGUCAGCUGUGAAAACUCGAGGCUCAACCUCGAGACGUCGGUUGAAACCGUAUGGCUAGAGUCCGGAAGAGGAGAGUGGAAUUCCCGGUGUAGCGGUGAAAUGCGCAGAUAUCGGGAAGAACACCCGUGGCGAAGGCGGCUCUCUGGGACGGUACUGACGCUGAGACGCGAAAGCGUGGGGAGCGAACAGG
RNAcentral lists this ribosomal RNA (253 nucleotides) under uncultured bacterium. Its description in RNAcentral is "partial 16S ribosomal RNA". It matches the Rfam family "Bacterial small subunit ribosomal RNA", at positions 524 to 776 of the family's 1533-position model. The record is from RNAcentral.